Molecule: transfer RNA, 72 nt
Filed under: Toxocara canis (dog roundworm)
Lineage: Eukaryota; Metazoa; Nematoda; Chromadorea; Rhabditida; Toxocaridae
Rfam family: tRNA
About the family: Transfer RNA (tRNA) molecules are approximately 80 nucleotides in length. Their secondary structure includes four short double-helical elements and three loops (D, anti-codon, and T loops). Further hydrogen bonds mediate the characteristic L-shaped molecular structure. tRNAs have two regions of fundamental functional importance: the anti-codon, which is responsible for specific mRNA codon recognition, and the 3' end, to which the tRNAs corresponding amino acid is attached (by aminoacyl-tRNA synthetases). tRNAs cope with the degeneracy of the genetic code in two manners: having more than one tRNA (with a specific anti-codon) for a particular amino acid; and 'wobble' base-pairing, i.e. permitting non-standard base-pairing at the 3rd anti-codon position.
Source: Rfam by way of RNAcentral
UGGGCAGUAGCUCAGUGGUAGAACUCCCGCUUCAUGUGCGGGGAGAUCUGGGUUCGAUUCCAGGCUGCUCAC